RNAcentral lists this ribosomal RNA (415 nucleotides) under uncultured bacterium. Its description in RNAcentral is "bacterial SSU rRNA". It matches the Rfam family "Bacterial small subunit ribosomal RNA", at positions 32 to 422 of the family's 1533-position model. The record is from RNAcentral.
AAUCAACGCUGGCGGCGUGCCUCAGACAUGCAAGUCGAACGCGAAAGAGGGCUUCGGCCCUUGAGUAGAGUGGCGCACGGGUGAGUAACACGUGGGUAAUUUACCUUUGGGUGGGGAAUAACAGUCGGAAACGGCUGCUAAUACCGCAUAAUGCAGCGGCUCCACAUGGAGACAGUUGUUAAAGCGGGGGAGCGAGCAAUCGCCCUCGCGCCUGAAGAGAAGCCCGCGGCAGAUUAGCUAGUUGGUGAGGUAAUGGCUCACCAAGGCUUCGAUCUGUAGCCGGCCUGAGAGGGCGGUCGGCCACACUGACACUGAAUAACGGGUCAGACUCCUACGGGAGGCAGCAGUCGGGAAUUUUGGGCAAUGGGCGCAAGCCUGACCCAGCAACGCCGCGUGAAGGAUGAAAUCUUUCGGG